This 497-nucleotide ribosomal RNA is filed under the name uncultured bacterium. Its description in RNAcentral is "partial 16S ribosomal RNA". It matches the Rfam family "Bacterial small subunit ribosomal RNA", at positions 28 to 507 of the family's 1533-position model. The record is from RNAcentral.
GACGAACGCUGGCGGCGUGCCUAACACAUGCAAGUUGAGCGCUGAAGGCUGGUACUUUUACCCACUGGAUGGGCAGCGGACGGGUGAGUAACGCGUGGGGGAUCUGCCUUUGAGCGGGGGAUAACAUUUGGAAACGAAUUCUAAUACCGCAUAAAAACUUUAAACACGAGGUUUAAGCUUGAAAGAUGCAAUUGCAUCACUUAAAGAUGAUCCCGCGUUGUGUUAGCUAGCUGGUGAGGGAAAGACUUACCCAGGGGAUGAUACAUAGCAGCCCUGAGAGGGUGCUCGGCCACACUGGGCUUGGGACACGGCCCAACCCCCUACGGGAGGCAGCCGGAGGGGACCUUCGGCAAUGGCAGCAGGUCUGACUGUGCGACGACGCGUGAGUGAAGAAGGUUUUCAGGUCGUAAAACUCUGUAAGUAGAGAGGAUCGUAAAGCGGUGUUGACCGCGCAGCAAGUGACGGUACCUGCACAAUAAGCGACGGCUAACUACGUG